Molecule: ribosomal RNA, 383 nt
Filed under: ANME-2 cluster archaeon
Lineage: Archaea; Methanobacteriati; Methanobacteriota; Methanomicrobia; Methanosarcinales
Description: partial 23S ribosomal RNA
Rfam family: Bacterial large subunit ribosomal RNA
Source: RNAcentral
AGCAGGUCCCAAGGGUUUGGCUGUUCGCCAAUUAAAGCGGUACGUGAGCUGGGUUUAGAACGUCGUGAGACAGUUCGGUCCCUAUCUUUCGUGGGCGUAGGAUAUUUGAGAGGAUCUUUCCCUAGUACGAGAGGACCGGGAUGGAUGAACCACUAGUGUACCAGUUGUCGCGCCAGCGGCAUAGCUGGGUAGCUACGUUCAGAAUGGAUAACUGCUGAAAGCAUCUAAGCGGGAAGCCAACCUCAAGAUAAGAUAUCCCUUCUCCUGACUUGUCAGGAGACUGAAGACCCCUUGUAGACUACAAGGUUGAUAGGCCAGGUGUGUAAGUGCGGUAACGUAUUGAGCUAACUGGUACUAAUAGGUCGUGAGGCUUGGCCAUAAAA